RNAcentral lists this ribosomal RNA (468 nucleotides) under uncultured bacterium. RNAcentral describes it as "partial 16S ribosomal RNA". It matches the Rfam family "Bacterial small subunit ribosomal RNA", at positions 28 to 507 of the family's 1533-position model. The record is from RNAcentral.
GACGAACGCUGGCGGCGUGCUUAACACAUGCAAGUCGAACGGAAAGGCCCUGCUUUUGUGGUGUGCUCGAGUGGCGAACGGGUGAGUAACACGUGAGUAACCUGCCCUUGACUUUGGGAUAACUUCAGGAAACUGGGGCUAAUACCGGAUAGGAGCUCCUGCUGCAUGGUGGGGGUUGGAAAGUUUCGGCGGGUGGGGAUGGACUCGCGGCUUAUCAGCUUGUUGGUGGGGUAGUGGCUUACCAAGGCUUUGACGGGUAGCCGGCCUGAGAGGGUGACCGGCCACAUUGGGACUGAGAUACGGCCCAGACUCCUACGGGAGGCAGCAGUGGGGAAUAUUGCACAAUGGGCGGAAGCCUGAUGCAGCAACGCCGCGUGCGGGAUGACGGCCUUCGGGUUGUAAACCGCUUUCGCCUGUGACGAAGCGUGAGUGACGGUAAUGGGUAAAGAAGCACCGGCUAACUACGUG